This is a long non-coding RNA of Lycium ferocissimum, 872 nucleotides long. RefSeq lists it as uncharacterized. The record is from RefSeq and is a predicted model, not a curated record. The transcript has 2 exons. NCBI's taxonomy places the organism in Eukaryota, Viridiplantae, Streptophyta, Magnoliopsida, Solanales, Solanaceae.
AAACAUACAAGACGUGUUUAAUACAAGAUGUUCAAAGCGAGUGUGAUACAACAUAAAAUGAUUACUUGUGGCUCCCAUAUUUCAUUUUUAAGAUUCAAAACAUCUCCCAUAUUUCAUUUUUACUUGUGGCUCGUUUGGAUAUGAAAUUAGUUGUUAAUCUUGAUUUGUUUGUAGACGCUCCAGAGGGGUUAGGAAAUACCUCAAGAUGAAGUCUUCAAGAUUACUCACACGAGGAAGGCGAAGAACGCUGAUGGUACGGACCAAUGGAUUGAGCCUAGGGCUCAGCAAACCUAUACCGAGUUUCAACAACACAAGUUGGAAUAUUGGUGCCAGAUCGACCAAAUGACGUCGAUGACCAACGAGAUAAUUGAUCAGCAGUGGAUGGAGAAGGUAGCUCCCCCGACAAGGUAUGGGACAGUUUAUGGGAUGCCUAAUCGAGCAUGUCGUCAAUUUCCGUCGUUCCUUUGAGGUGUAGGUGCGACUUCUGAAGGGGCAGUGGAUCCUAAGGAGUACCAAGAAAUGAAGCAGAAAGUUACUCAACUAACAAGUACACUUAGUGCCACGGAGGCAAGGAUGUUGCAUAAGCAGGCCCAAAUAGACAGCUUACUCAAUUCGGGCCCCUCUAAUAUUCCCCCGUGUCCCAGGGAUGCUCGUAGGUCACAACCCAGUAGACGAUGUAGGUCACAGGCCAAUGUAGUUCAUGCUCUUGUUGAUGAGGAUAGUGGGGAGGAAUCAGAUCAUGUCUCUAACACCCAACGUUGACUUUUUUGAUUCGUAUACUUUUGGAUUGUAAUAUUGCUAUGUUUUCUUGGAUAUGUAUAUGAUAUUUGAUUGUAGUUUUAAUUCGAAUUAGAUGUACUUUUGAAGGUGAA